CCUACGGGCGGCAGCAGUGGGGAAUAUUGGGCAAUGGGCGCAAGCCUGACCCAGCAACGCCGCGUGAAGGAAGAAGGCUUUCGGGUUGUAAACUUCUUUUGUCAGGGAAGAGUAGAAGACGGUACCUGACGAAUAAGCCACGGCUAACUACGUGCCAGCAGCCGCGGUAUUACGUAGGUGGCAAGCGUUGUCCGGAUUUACUGGGUGUAAAGGGCGUGUAGCCGGGUUGACAAGUCAGAUGUGAAAUCCUGCGGCUUAACCGCAGAACUGCAUUUGAAACUGUUGAUCUUGAGUACUGGAGAGGCAGAUGGAAGUCCUAGUGUAGCGGUGAAAUGCGUAGAUAUUAGGAGGAACACCAGUGGCGAAGGCGGUCUGCUGGACAGCAACUGACGGUGAGGCGCGAAAGCGUGGGGAGCAAACAGGAUUAGAUACCCGGGUAGUC
Molecule: ribosomal RNA, 442 nt
Filed under: uncultured bacterium
Lineage: Bacteria
Description: partial 16S ribosomal RNA
Rfam family: Bacterial small subunit ribosomal RNA
Source: RNAcentral